CAGUCGCCGCGGUAAUACGAGGGGUGCAAGCGUUAUUCGGAUUGAUUGGGUGUAAAGGGUGUGCAGACGGCUUAUUAAGUCACUUGUUAAAUUCUUCGGCCUAACUGAAGGUCUGCAAGUGAUACUGAUGAGCUAGAGGGUGGAAGAGAGAAGUGGAAUUCUCGGAGUAGCGGUAAAAUGCGUAGAUCUCGAGAGGAACACCAAUGGCGAAGGCAGCUUCUUGGUCCACUCCUGACGUUCAUACACGAAAGCGUGGGGAGCAAACAGGAUUAGAUACCCCCGUAGUCCCUGUCUCUUAUAC
Molecule: ribosomal RNA, 301 nt
Filed under: uncultured bacterium
Lineage: Bacteria
Description: partial 16S ribosomal RNA
Rfam family: Bacterial small subunit ribosomal RNA
Source: RNAcentral